This 431-nucleotide ribosomal RNA is filed under the name uncultured bacterium. Its description in RNAcentral is "partial 16S ribosomal RNA". It matches the Rfam family "Bacterial small subunit ribosomal RNA", at positions 29 to 507 of the family's 1533-position model. The record is from RNAcentral.
AACGAACGCUGGCGGCAGGCCUAACACAUGCAAGUCGAGCGCCCUUUCGGGGGAGCGGCGGACGGGUGAGUAACGCGUGGGAAUAUGCCCUUCUCUACGGAAUAGCCUCGGGAAACUGAGAGUAAUACCGUAUACGCCCUGUGGGGAAAAGAUUUACCGGGGAAGGAUUAGCCCGCGUUGGAUUAGGAAGUUGGUGGGGUAAUGGCCUACAAAGCGGACGAUCCAUAGCUGGUUGGAGAGGAUGAUCAGCCACACUGGGACUGAGACACGGCCCAGACUCCUACGGGAGGCAGCAGUGGGGAAUCUUAGACAAUGGGGGCAACCCUGAUCGAGCCAUGCCGCGUGAGUGAUGAAGGCCUUAGGGUUGUAAAGCUCUUUCAGCUGGGAAGAUAAUGACGGUACCAGCAGAAGAAGCCCCGGCUAACUCCGUG